AAACCAGUGACAUCCUCAAAAGACGCUGAUGUAAAUGAAAGUGGAGGUUUAGCAUCAACUGCUGGUGUUUUAACAUCAAUGAUCAGAUGGAAAACGAAAAAGAAACUGCAUACAGGAACUCGAGAAACUCGUGAAAAGUAUCCGGGAUAUUUAGAUCUGUUCACUCGACUAUCACGUGAAUUAAAUACAUCAGUGCCAUUUCCGAUUCUUCUUCAAACUCGACGAGAGGCUUUGCCAAUUAUUCAGAACAUCGCCAAAGCAUACAAGUCUACAUUAGGUCUCCAUCAUCAAAUGACUCGACAAGCCUGUGCCAAGGUGGAGAAGUUGCGGUCAGAAUUACAAGAUAGCGAUGUGUUUCUGUGAUUUAGUAUCAUCAGAUGAUAGAACAACUUGGGCAUAGAUGGAGAAAAUACGAGCCGAAAUACAUGAUAGUGAUGAGUUUCUGUGAUGAUAGGAUCAGUUUGUAACACGCAAGGUUGACGAUUCAUUUAUGAUCAGAAUUACAGGAUAGCUGUGUUUUUCUGUGAUCAUCAAAAUAAUGAUUGAACAAGCAUGUGUGUAGAUGGAGAGGUUCAAUCAGGACUACAUGUUACGGUGGUGAGGUUCUUCAUCAUGUCAGACUGAACAUUAUGGAAGAAUACUUUCCCGCAAAAUCGUUGAACAUUUACGUUCAGAUUUAUACACAUAGAAACUAUUUGUUUUUCAGAAUUUUAGUUGUUACUGAAAAUCUGAUGGAAAUAGUAAACUUAGAGUGGGUGGACUUAAAUUGAUUCUAACAAACAAAACAAUGAUGUACUAACAUCUAAUAUUAUUUUUGUGUUGCAUCUGUCCCAGUUGAAAAGUAAAAAUUGAUGUACAAUGAUAUCACAAUAACAUUGUAUGAAAUUUAUACGAGGUAGGUCCUUCACUUAGGAAAUGGCUUAAACCUCUUUUGUGAAUGUGAGCAUUAAUAUAUACCAUGUCCACUUUAUUAAAUAUUUCACUACAAAAUGAAAGUUACUUUGGACCGGACAAAUUUGACUGGCCAAAAAAUAAGUUUUCACUUUGUUUGAGUUCAAGAUUCAGAGUAAAAAACUAAACAAGUGGUACUAUUCUGAACACCCUGAAGUUUUCAUCUAUUCCAAGCUCAAGUAGUUUGAGAUGGAUGUGUUGAGCAGAGAAAGAUGAUGAUGACCAUAUGGAAAGAACAUGGGAUCUGGAACAAGGAUGGUGAAAGAUGAAUGAGGAAGAUAAAAGAUUACAUUGAAUGAUAUGAUGAAGGAAAGCAGCAAGGUAGGUCUAAAGAUGGAGCAUUUUCAAAGCAGAAAGAAGAGGAAGGAGGGAAUGUAGUCCAUAAAGUGAAGAGUUAAGAACCCCUCAUAAGAGGGAAAUGCUGACUGGAAUGAAUUAUGAAAUCUGUCAAUGUUGAACCACUAGAUUUGAAGAAUAUAUUUUGAAUUCAAAUUUGUUUCUCUUUGAAGAACGAAUAAUGAAACAAAUAAGAACAAAGUAUUACUGAACAGCAAACACAUAAUAUAUUUGACAUCCAUCACUGAGCAUUCAAGUUACACAGUCCACUAAAACAUUUUCUUAAAAUUAUUUAUAAAAGUAAUAUGACAUAAAUAUACAUCUUUUUGAAAGAGGAAAAAUAAAAUGUUACAGUUUGUACAUGCAUCUCAACAAAACCAUAUUGCGCCCUGUAAAAGUUACUUUUAAUAGUAACAUCUACAAACAUUCAAGUAUGCUUCUGACUGACCAAUCACAUGG
This 1746-nucleotide long non-coding RNA is filed under the name Lytechinus variegatus (green sea urchin). RNAcentral describes it as "uncharacterized LOC121419387". The record is from RNAcentral. Lineage: Eukaryota; Metazoa; Echinodermata; Echinoidea; Temnopleuroida; Toxopneustidae.